CUACAUGAUGAUCCCCAUGUACAAAGCAUAGUUCAACUGAAGGUCUUCGGAUCUCUGAACGAGAAAACCCAUCACCAUCUUUCAUCAGAUCUGAUC
Molecule: non-coding RNA, 96 nt
Organism: Trichophyton benhamiae CBS 112371
Lineage: Eukaryota; Fungi; Ascomycota; Eurotiomycetes; Onygenales; Arthrodermataceae
Source: Rfam